UAUACUUUUUGUGUACAAUGAAUAUCGUAAUUGAUGUAGACAAUAUCUGGACCUUAUAGAUAAGUGCAUAAAGAAGCUACGUCCAGUGACUUUUGUACAUUCUUGUUACUUCCAUCUUACCUACUUUAACAGAAGGUUGUAGUUUAAACAUAUCAAAAUAAUAAAGAAAAGUUGCAAACUUGCAAUUUACUAUUGAAGUAGUAGAGGAGCAGUAAGAAAGUUUUGACAGCAUUAUCAUGUGGAGGAUAUCUUGAAAUACCAGCUCAAAAAUUUUCAAAAAUUCAAUGGUGUUACAACAGUUUUAAGGCUAUAUGGGAGGAAAUGUCUUAGUAUUAUUCCAUUUUUCCAGCAUUUAAUGUGCAAUUAUUCAAUUAGUGAAGGAGCUCACUCACAUAAGUUGAUAGGAAAUUCUUCAACAAAGAGCAUAAAGGCAUACAUGCAAGGUAGUUAAAGGCAUAGGACGUCGUAAUUUGACGAUUGCAAAGAUAUUGACCGUUCAUUGCCUGCAGAAAUGCCAAGUUAGAAGUCAGUCCAGAUUCAUCAGCUAGAAAGCAUCUAACAUGGACAAAGGAUUUGAAAUCUAAAAAGCAACAGUAGAUUAAAAAUCCAAAGACUUUUCCAAACAUGUAAACUCAAGUAAACCGUAUCUUUACUAAUUGCAGGUCUUUAUAUUUAAUAGGAUUUCAGGAAGGUAAAUUAUAUUACAAUUUAGGCAUCGCAAUAGACAGUUCUAAAUUAAUAUAU
Long non-coding RNA from Capsicum annuum, 744 nucleotides. RefSeq lists it as uncharacterized. Lineage: Eukaryota; Viridiplantae; Streptophyta; Magnoliopsida; Solanales; Solanaceae. The record is from RefSeq and is a predicted model, not a curated record. The transcript is spliced from 2 exons.